CCUACGGGGGGCAGCAGUGGGGAAUAUUGCACAAUGGGGGAAACCCUGAUGCAGCGACGCCGCGUGAGGGAAGAAGUAUUUCGGUAUGUAAACUUCUAUCAGCAGGGAAGAAAAUGACGGUACCUGACUAAGAAGCCCCGGCUAACUACGUGCCAGCAGCCGCGGUAAUACGUAGGGGGCAAGCGUUAUCCGGAUUUACUGGGUGUAAAGGGAGCGUAGGCGGUUUAGCAAGUCAGAAGUGAAAGCCCGGGGCUCAACUCCGGGACUGCUUUUGAAACUGUUGAACUAGAGUGCAGGAGAGGUAAGUGGAAUUCCUAGUGUAGCGGUGAAAUGCGUAGAUAUUAGGAGGAACACCAGUGGCGAAGGCGGCUUACUGGACUGUAAAUGACGCUGAGGCUCGAAAGCGUGGGGAGCAAACAGGAUUAGAUACCCGAGUAGUC
RNAcentral lists this ribosomal RNA (440 nucleotides) under uncultured bacterium. RNAcentral's name for it is "partial 16S ribosomal RNA". It matches the Rfam family "Bacterial small subunit ribosomal RNA", at positions 338 to 795 of the family's 1533-position model. The record is from RNAcentral.